AAUCCAUCAACUGCCCCAGGCUUUUGUGGCCUGUUGGUGAAGUUGGACUUGGAGGCAUGCUGGCGCAUGAAUGGGCUUUGUGCCCUGCUGUGCUUGUUGGCUCCUCUUGAAUGCAUGAGCUUUCCAAUCCUUGGCAAAGUAUCGUCGAUGUGAUAAUUAUCUGCGUCGUCUGAGAAAGCCUAAAAGGGGAAAUCUUUGAUCACGUUGGGUUGACCCACGUCUGACAA
Molecule: unclassified non-coding RNA, 227 nt
Filed under: uncultured Tomentellopsis
Lineage: Eukaryota; Fungi; Basidiomycota; Agaricomycetes; Thelephorales; Thelephoraceae
Description: sequence contains ITS2
Source: RNAcentral